Long non-coding RNA from Cydia pomonella (codling moth), 373 nucleotides. RefSeq lists it as uncharacterized. Lineage: Eukaryota; Metazoa; Arthropoda; Insecta; Lepidoptera; Tortricidae. The transcript has 2 exons. The record is from RefSeq and is a predicted model, not a curated record.
CAGUCUUUUGGCACGCGGAUGUUGGGAAGAUGGCGUCCUCGCGAAAACGUUGCUUGAGGGAUGCAGAAUUAGAAAAUUAUUUAAAUCUUAUAUUUACCCAGUCAACAAUUCAGGACAUACGGUGCACUUCAUAUGCCAUUAGCUGGUGAACAACAAAAUAGAUGUAGGAGGCCAGAGUGUAAUAAAAAAAAAAGAAACUUGAUCUCAUCCUUAAUAAAGACUAAAGUGCAAUUGUUAAACAAAGUUGAGGCUGAUGUGAUAAUAUUUUAGAAGAAAGUACUUUUUGUUGAUGUUUAGAAUACAUAAGUUUAGAUUUUUUGUACAACUGUAAUGUACUACCUAACUAUACAUAAAUAAAAAUAAUUAUAAAAUA